GCCCCGACGAACAGCCCCCACGUCCUAGCUUAUCCCAGGCUAGCUUUUAGUUGAGCUCUCCUUUAAAGCCUGGACCUGGACACAGGAACCACAGGCGCUGCAGCCAACAAUUUCGCGCACUGUAGACGUAGUAGCCAAUCAGAAGGCGCAGCUGUAGGGGCCGGGGUGGGAUCAACCCGUGACUCGCGGUGACUCCCUAGCAGGGAGCGGGGAGAGCGUCUCCAUCUGUUGGACCUUGCGCUUUCCAGGCAGGCACCGGAACCACUGAGCUAAAUCCGAGGCAACCUGUCUCUUCUUUGAGCAGAUCCCCCUAGCCUGCCCAAGCCAGACUUCAAGGCUUCGAAGGAAAAGCUGCAGAAGUUGGAUGAGGAGGGACAGCUCUGUCACCUGGGAAGAGUUUGCCAAAAUGAAGCAGGAGCUAGAAGGGAAGUUGCUGACUUUUUUGAGCCUGAAAGGACCUUCCUGCUGGGAAUACCACACCUACAUCUGAGAUGCCUGCCUGUGGGCAUGUCAUGUGCUCUCCCAAGUGUAUGAAGGUCCCCUGCCUUAAGUUCUCCCCACUGCCUCCUUAGAGCUUCUUCAAAUUGGCAGAGCUCUUUGAAUGACUCAGGAUCUCAUGGGCUUCAGGUCUUGCUGGGUCUCCUUCCAGGACUGAAGCUCAAACAUGCCAAGUCACAGCUCAAAGGCCCACCAGGCAUAUCCUCGACAUGACAUUAAGAUCAGAUCCCGGGGACACAAAGAGAGGUAUCCCUGCAGCUCUACAGCCCUUCUUCCUGUGGCAGCAGGAUCUCCAUGGGAAGGUACAAGACCCAGAACUUGGAACCUAAGAAGUCAAGGCUAACCCCUCCUCCACAGGCCCUAGCAAGGACCACAGGUUAAAUUUUCUACAUCUAUUUCCUGACCAGGAAAAUGAAACUACCCUGUCUUGGCUCUCCCCAGUGCUUAAGGAGAUAAGAAACCAGAUGUAACUUCAGAUGGCCCUUUGCCAUACGGGACAAGGUUUAAGCCCCACAUUUCCAGCCCAUUUCACCCCACUGGGAUGCUAGACUUCUUGGUUGCUUGUGCCUGCUGGGUAAAGCCCAAAGUACAGGCUAGAGACAGCCCACAGCAACUGUGACAAACGCUCAGGACCCUGG
This 1136-nucleotide long non-coding RNA is filed under the name Heterocephalus glaber (naked mole-rat). RNAcentral's name for it is "lncRNA (ENSHGLG00000040869.1)". The record is from RNAcentral. Lineage: Eukaryota; Metazoa; Chordata; Mammalia; Rodentia; Bathyergidae.